RNA transcript from Hippopotamus amphibius kiboko, 7725 nucleotides. It is a transcript of the gene named kelch domain containing 4, with no coding region annotated. The record is from RefSeq and is a predicted model, not a curated record. Lineage: Eukaryota; Metazoa; Chordata; Mammalia; Artiodactyla; Hippopotamidae. The transcript has 13 exons.
UCCUGCGCGCCGCGCGCUGCCCGAGCCUCGCGCGCUGCUCCUGGCGUCUCCUCAGGCCCGGCGCGAUGGGCAGGAAGGGCAGGAAGGAGAAGAAGGGCCGCGGGGCGGAGAAGACGGCCGCCAAGAUGGAGAAGAAGGUGUCCAGGCGCUCGCGGAAGGAGGAGGAGGACCUUGAAGCCCUCAUAGCCCAAUUCCAGACUCUGGAUGCCAGAAAGACUCAGAUCGUAGAGACACCCUGCUCCCCGCCUUCUCCAAGGUUAAAUGCCUCACUCUCCGCUCAUCCUGAGAAAGAGGAGUUAAUCCUUUUCGGAGGUGAAUAUUUCAAUGGCCAAAAAACUUUUUUAUAUAACGAACUCUAUAUCUACAACAUCAGGAAGGAUGCCUGGACCAAAGUCGAAAUCCCUAACCCACCUCCGAGGCGCUGUGCACACCAGGCUGUGGUGGUGCCCCAGGGCGGCGGACAGCUGUGGAUCUUUGGCGGGGAGUUUGCUUCUCCUGACGGAGAGCAGUUCUACCACUACAAGGACCUCUGGGUCCUGCAUUUGGCCACCAAGACCUGGGAGCAAGUCAGAUCACCAGGCGGUCCUUCAGGCAGGAGUGGACAUCGGAUGGUGGCCUGGAAGAGACAGUUAAUCCUUUUUGGUGGCUUCCAUGAGAGCACGAGGGAUUACAUCUAUUAUAAUGACGUGUAUGCCUUCAACCUGGACACUUUCACGUGGAGCAGGCUGUCCCCGUCCGGGACGGGGCCCACACCCAGGUCGGGCUGCCAGAUGACCGUCACCCCCCAGGGCGGUGUCGUCAUCUAUGGAGGCUACUCAAAACAGAGAGUCAGGAAAGAUGUGGACAGAGGCACCCAGCACUCCGACAUGUUCCUGCUGAGGGACGAGGAGGGAAGAGAAGGCAGGUGGGCGUGGACUCGGGUUAACCCUUCCGGAGCCAAGCCCACCCCCAGGUCCGGCUUCUCGGUGGCUGUGGCCCCGAACCAUCAGACGCUGCUGUUCGGGGGGGUGUGUGACGAGGAGGAGGAGGAGAGCCUGGAGGGCCACUUCCUCAAUGACCUGCACGUCUACGACCCCGGCAGGAACCGCUGGUUCGCGGGGCAGCUGAAGGGUCCCAAGGCGGAGCAGAGGCGCGGGCGGGGCAGGAAAGCCGAGCCCAGGGCUGGCGACAGGCAGGAAGCGAAGGGGGCCGGCGCCCAGGAGCCCCCGGAGGUGGUCAGGGAGGUCCUGGCAGAGGAUGGGACCGUGGUCACCAUCAAACAGGUGCUCGCGGCCCCGGGCCCAGCAGGACAGCCGGAGUCCCGUGGCCACGACGACGGCGCCGAGGACGCGGGUGUGCCUGCGGCGGAGCCCAGCCCCCGCUCCAACGCCAUGCUGGCCGUGAAGCACGGGCGCCUCUACCUCUACGGGGGCAUGUUUGAGGCUGGCAACCGCCAGGUCACCCUCAGUGACUUGUACUGCCUGGACCUGCACAAGAUGGACGCGUGGGCGGUCUUGGUAGAGAUGGAUCCAGAAUCUCAGGAGUGGCUGGAGGAGACAGACUCCGAAGAGGACAGCGAUGAGGUCGAGGGCGCUGAGGGCGGCGGGGAGGACGAGGACGAGGACAGCAGCGAGGGGGGCAGGGAGCAACCUCCCUCGGUGGCACCUGGUGAGCUGUUCGCGGACUACCUGCCCAGGACCGAGCAGUACUGGGUGAAGCUCGCGCGGGACGACGCGGGGCCCGGCGCCCAGGAGAGGAGAGUGCUGAAAGGCGCUCAGGCCAUGGCCAAGGCUUUCUUUGAUGACGUGGCCUGAGCCACACCCAGGCCAGAGGUUAGACUGAGGAGCUGUGGUUCCCUGCCCCCAGCGCGCCGCGUGUGGUUAAAAUAAACUGGACUUGGCGCGAGGCUGCUGCCGCGAAGGUGGUCUUCUGUGCAGCCUCCGGGCACCGACAGUUCUGGCGGGGCCUCUGGCUGGGUCGGGGCCGAGCUAAGCCACCCCCACACCAGGCGGCACCUUGACCAUGAAGUGGAACACUGGGUUUGGUGGGGGGUUCCCGUCUGCAAAGCUGGGAGAUGCGUGUCAUGCCUGAGCGCACGUUCCGUCGUCUCGCUGAUGUGUAAGAACUGUCCGUAGCCGCCCGCCGCCUCCUGUACGCAUCUUCUUGGUUCGCUGGAAGAUAAAGCGCCUGUCGGCGGGCUGGUCUGCUCGUUGUGCGCAUGGCUUUGCCCGGGCUCUCUUGGGGUGUCGUGCGCCAGCUCCUCGGGCCACUCCUCACCUUUGGGGAGGAGGCGGUGGAGCCGUGCUCUGCCCCUCUCCCCCUCGGGCUCAGGGUUGUCAUCUGCGUGGUGACAGAAGAGGACGAGAAGCCGGCGGGCGGCCCCCCGUCCCCGCGUGGCCUCGCCGUCCAUUGCCGGGCACCUCUGGGUCUGUGGUGCGUCAGCGCUGGCUGGUGCCCGCGCCAAGGUUGACGGCAGGAGGCGGGUCUUCAUUUGUGUCACUGGGGCAGAGGCUGGGCUUUGGAUUCAUGGUGGUGCGUGUGUUCAUCUAAAACAGUUUUCAGCAGCAGGCCCGGCAGCCCACCGUUGCCUUGCCUGGGUCAUGCGCGCAUCACGGGCGGUUAGAAACGAGGAGUGGGCUCGUCUGCCCGGCGGAGCGGGCCUGGGCCUCGGGAGGUCGUGGAAGGUCCAGGCCGACUUGCCCCAGGAGCAGCCCACGCCCGACCCGGCGUUCACCUCCAGCCGUGUGACCUCACUCGUUAGACUUCUCCUGCUUCACGCGCACACGGAUCUGCCCGCCGGAGCCUCCCUCUGGUGGGGGGCCUGGCAGAGCCCCCGGGAGUCCCGGUCAUGGGGAAGGGCCGGGCCGGGGUCGGGCAGACACAGGCUGUGUUUGGUGGAAGGGCAGGGCCCUGGCGUCAGCAUCUUCCCUGUGCCUGCGGGGGUGCUGGGGCAGGCGGGCAGGGGCCGCACGGAGGCCCUCCCGGUGCCCACCCUGCUGUCCGGGGGCUCGUGGCCUGGGUGUGGGGCUGCUGCCUUGGGAGGCAGUGUUGGAAGAGCAUCAGCCCCAGUGCAGGUGUCUGUCACCAGAGGCCACUUACAUUACAGAGGAGCCUGUAAGCAGAGGAGACUCCAAGGAAGGUAGUUUUGAAUCAACUCGAGGUAGAGUUGAAAAAGAAAUGACAAGCCCCCGAAGAAACUUCCUUUGUGCUGAGGGUGCCGUCUAAGUGCCAGGGAGGUAAAUGCACCAGCCGCACACGAGGCGCCGCCUCUGCUGUGUCCCCACCGUGCGCGUCCCGACAGCGGACAGCGGCAGGGCCAGGCGGGCAUACGGUGCAGCCCCCCCCCGCGCCAGCGGCUGGUCGCUGAACCGAAUGCUCCGGACGCCCGGCCGGCUGGCACAGAGCCCCAGGCCUCGGUGCCCCGCAGUGCUGGAGCCAGGACGGCCGGUGACGGCUGCGCUCGGGGUCGGCUACAGCCCCGCGGGGACGUCCGCCUCGCCUGCCCCUUGGUUUGCUGACUUGUUGGUGAGCCCCCUCGCCCCCCCAGAUGGGUCCUGCCCCCUCGCCUCUCAGGGGUGCCCCUCAGCUGGCCCCGUGCCCGCUGCAGACCCUGCACCAGAGCUCCUUGGGGGCUUCGUGGGGGUUGUGAGUGUGAACAGUGUGCUUUCUCCUCGUGUCCCAGGAGCAGCUCAGCUGGCUGGCGGGGCCAGGCUUCGCCAGGCAAUGUGAGCGCGUGGAUCUACGGCGGUGGGUUCCUUGGGGUUGGACUGAAUUGAGCAGAGAUAGAGGGGAGUACCCGCUGAGCUCCGAAGCCCUCGUCACCCACAGUCGUCUGUGGCGGGUCAGCGUGUGACGGUGGGGGUUACUGCCGCGUGACACCUGAUUUUGUACCAAGUGUGGGCAGGAAGUCAGUGCUUGGUGACAGUAGAAACGCGUGGGGGGACCCGACGCUGCGUGGGGCUACCAGGGAGACAGCCACUUCCGUGUUGUCCACGCGGGGUGGAGGAGGCCGUCGCGAGGCCUCGCUCAGCCACCCCCGUGUGCCGCGGUGAGAACGUGGCGGGGUGGGUGGAGGCGUGCAUCGGGUGAGUGUGGCCCGGGAGGCCCGUGGCGGCUCUGGCCCGGGCGGGCGUGCUGUGUCUCUCUGCCCGGCUCCGCGCGCUGCUGCCUCCCUGGGCGUCAGGUCAGGAGGCAAAGCUGUGGGGAGGCCCUUGGCCCAGAGUGUAGACCACGGUCGCCUGUUUCUGUGGAGAGUCCCAUCCCAGGCCAGGCCGGGCCUGGUCACCAGGGCCCUGAGCACAGGGUCCGUGGGAAGCUGAGGCACCGACGGGCACGGCCGGUGGCCACGGGGGCUGGGAGCAAGGCGACCUGGGCUCUGGACAGCCCGGCUGUUCACCUCGGGGCCCCCCGGAUGUGAACCACCUGGGAGCUGAGGAGCCGCGGGGACACAGCCAGGGCCAGGCCUGGUCGGCAGGCCGUGUGGGAGCAGGGCUGGGGGCGGUCGCUGCUCUCGGGCCGGGACCGGGGUGGCUCAUGGAGCACAGGGGUCCUGAGCCGGGGACCCUGGGCCUGGAGGGGUGGGCUCCCCCUGGCCUUAGGGCAGGAGGGGGCGCGGGGAGGGGGCUUUUGUCUGCAGAGUGGGGCCCGGAAAGACCACAGGGUGUCAUGAGGGUCCUGAGUUUGGAAAGGAAGAGUCACUGCUCCGUGGGAAACAUGGACGUCGAAGUCUAAGAAAGUCAGGUUUGAAAGGGCUGCUGGGGGCCCCUCUGUGAGGCGCCUUGGUGUCCUCCAUCCGCUGGCAGAGGGGGUGGGCGCCAGGCGGGCUCCCGGCCCAGGUGGAGGCAGUGCUGGCGCGGGAAGGGGGGCGUUUCCGGUUCCUGCUCAGAGUCACAAGAGCCUCCAGACACGGACGGACGCCGCCAGAUAACGUACGCCAGGUUCAUCUUGAAAUCUGGGCAAUGGAAGGAAUUUGCAGUAAAGACACUCGUUUAUAACCAGAUGAUGCACGUGACCAAACUUUCAAAUGGGGACGUUUAUUAUUAGAAAGAGCAAAGUUUUUCUUUGAUCUCGACCGUGUCCCAUGCUUUCAGAUAGUGAGAUAUGUAGUAAUGGUAUGAUUUAAACAGGUUCAUUAAAGAAAAUUAUUUUCAUUUUUUAAGUGACCAAGCCAUUUUUCUAGGUAAAAGAAGAGAAGAAAGGCUGAAGGAACUGCUUCAUCAAUAAAAAAAUCAGAACACAUUGGACGUUGCCUUUUCGUGACUGCCUGUGUCAGCAGACAGUUGACAGGCGUCAGGACAGACGGAGGGAGGAAAGAAAGCGCAGUGCGGCGGCUGUGUGAGGGUGUCUGCGUCAGGGCAGCAGGAGACCCGCGCCCACAUGGGACAGGCAGGACAGCAAGGGUGUGGCACACGGGCUGGCAGGUGUGUGAGCCCAAGAGUACCGUGGGGGGUGUGUGUCGGGGGCAGCGAGGCGGGGGCCAGAGGGGUGCUGCCCCCAGACCCAGGCUCGCCCGGGGCCGGCUGUGUCCACAGGGGUGGGAUCUGCCCCCGGGGUGACUGCGUCCCUGAGGUCAGGGACGAUCUGGAGCCAGACGUGUUGCCCGUUUGUACCCCAGGCUCUUCCACGGUGGGGUCUCACACAGAAGUGGACUCCAGCAGCUGCGUCUCUGCUGACGGGCGCCGGUGCUGGGGAGUGUCUAGCGUGGGUUCCAUCGCCCGCGGGGUGUUCGCCUGCUCCGGGCCCCCCUCUGUGCGGCCAUCUGCCCCUGCUGCUCCCCUGGGUGCCUGCCAGCCCCUGCUUCCCCGGGGAGCACCCGCCCCCAUGUCUGGUGCCCGCAGCCUCGCGCCCCCGCCUGUCACGGGGUCCGUGCCCUCGAGGCUGUGGUCCAGGCUUGUGGACACACGGUGUGAGUGCUGCUUGUGCUCUGGUUGUGCACAGAGGCACCUGCACGUUCUCCUCUUCUGAGGCUGUUAGUGACACGUGUCGGCGCUUGGGGCCGGUGGCUUUUCAGUCUUGGCUUCCUGCCGGUUUCCUGACACGUGGAUGGCCCGAGCCUGGCUCCCCUCACUCCUGCGCCCUCAUUUGGACUCUCGAUCCUCUUACCUAACUGACCAGCCGCGGAUCCCCGUCCCCGGCGAGGUUAACGAUGACGGCCGUGGAGCUCACGCGACGUCACGGCAGGGCACGCUGGCUGUGGCCGUGAGGAGGGAGGCUGUGACGUCACGGCGAGUGUCUGAGCCCAGAGGCGGAGACCGUCGCAGACGAGACCUGUAAGGCUGAGCUGAGCUCGAUCUGGGGGCUGGGCCCCCACCCAGGGUGCCUGGCAGGACCCGGGGGACCGUACGGGUGUCAGUUCAGGAAAACCCAAACUGAAAGGGUGAAAACCAGAAACCGUUUAUUUCACUCCCUCUCCCGACUACUCCUGUGCGUCAGCAUGUGCAGGCCGUCCUGGAUGCGUCACCUGACCUCUCCCCUGGGCUGGCGGGAGCACCCUGUGGUUUUUAAGUGGGGCGGCCGUUUAAUUGUCUGUGGGACUCUUGAGAUGAACGGGUGCACUUUGAUGGCCAGGCUAGGACGUCGGGCAUUCGUGGCCCCGGGAGUCUGUGGCAGCCACACUGCGUUCUCGGUGCUUCCUGGGGGAACCGUGGGCUUCGUGCUUGUAGGGAGGCACCCGUCUCCCUCCCACACCCCCCACGUGGAGCGCGUCUAACAGAGACGUGGGCACGUGGUUGUUAGACGGGGCGUGGAACGUCCUAGCGUUUCGACCCCUCGCCUCCCUCCCCUCGAAUGGCUGCCGCCACGGGCAUUGUGCUUCUGUGGCCACGCGGAGCUCUUCUGUGUGGACGCCACCUUCCUCGUCUGUUGUUUGGGUGCAGGGGUCUCGUCCCUCGUGCUGUCCCGCCCCACUCUCACAGGUGAGGUGUGGGUGCCGCUCCCCAGCCUGGGGGGGGUGGCCUGUCCCCCCUCCCCGCGGGCCCGGCUCAGCAGCUCAGGUCACUCAAUUUCUCUGCCUCUGGUUUUUACAUCUCGAGCUCGGAAGCAGCUGUCGGGGGACAAGAUGACUCUCAUGAGGUUGGUCUGGGAUUAAUGAAAACCUGUCAGCGCUCCGGGCCACUGGGGCCCACGACAGCGUCUGUGCUUCCCCCGUCCCACGUGUCCACCAGGAACGCGCCUGGCAGAAGCGGGUCAGCCAGCCUGGCCCGGAGGGAGCUCGCGGGUGCACCUGUCAGGAAACCCGGGGCUCCGGCAGGUAGGAGAGGCUGGCCAGUCUGAGCGAACCCUUUCGGCCUGCCUGCGGGGCAGCCUCGUCUGGGAACCAGCUCAAAGCUGGCCUUUUAGAGCCUCCCAGGCCCAGGACGUCGUGGUCUCCGUGGAAUCCACGCACAGCUCACCGGGUGCAGGGAGACAGCAGUAGUGCGGGUGUUGCUCUGGUUUUGUGUUACUGGCCGCUGGACGCAUGGCGGGAUGCUAGCCAGGCCCCUGUGAGCCCCAAGCCCAGAAACCAUUGCUUGCCUCAGUGAUGGGUACUUGUGCUGUUUUUUUCUACACAGCUGCGUGCCUCAGGGUGUGUGCACGGAGUGUGUAACCUGUGCACGGGUCGUGCAGGUACUGGAAUGUACAGCAGUCUCUCCAAUCUUUACCAAGCGCUGCAGACAGAAUGACAAAACACACACCCCAGCAUGGACGACGCGCAGCUGCGCGGGGCAGGCAUGUUUAUUUGGUUCACUCCAGGGCUGCAGCAACCAC